This 494-nucleotide ribosomal RNA is filed under the name uncultured bacterium. RNAcentral's name for it is "partial 16S ribosomal RNA". It matches the Rfam family "Bacterial small subunit ribosomal RNA", at positions 28 to 507 of the family's 1533-position model. The record is from RNAcentral.
GACGAACGCUGGCGGCGUGCUUUAGGCAUGCAAGUCGAACGCGAAAGCCCCUUCGGGGGUGAGUAGAGUGGCUAACGGGUUAGUAACACGUUGGUAACCUGCCCCUCGCAGGGGGAUAACCUGGGGAAACCCCGGCUAAUACCCCGUACGCUUGCUGGGGCGCAUGCUCCGGCAAGGAAAGGUAGCUUCGGCCAUCCGGCGUGGGAGGGGCCCGCUGCCCAUUAGCUAGUUGGGGGGGUAACGGCCCACCAAGUCGACGAUGGGUAGCGGGCCUGAGAGAGUGGUAGGCAACCGUGGGACGGAGACACGGCCAAAACCCCUAGGGGGGGAAGCAGCGAGAAAUCUUGCGCAAGGGGGGAAGGCCUGACGCAGCAAGGCCGCGUGGGCGAUGAAGGCCUUCGGGUCGUAAAGACCUGUUGUCGGGGACGAAGGGAGAAGGGUUAAUAGCCCCUAGCUUGACGGUACCAGAAGAGGAAGCCCCGGCUAACUACGUG